Long non-coding RNA from Xiphophorus couchianus (Monterrey platyfish), 815 nucleotides. RefSeq lists it as uncharacterized. The transcript is spliced from 2 exons. The record is from RefSeq and is a predicted model, not a curated record. NCBI's taxonomy places the organism in Eukaryota, Metazoa, Chordata, Actinopteri, Cyprinodontiformes, Poeciliidae.
CUGUGGAUAUCUAAUUCAAAUAUCAUACAAUAUGAGGGAGAUGUGAAAACAACACAGCCAGUCGAUCUUUUUAAACGUUUUAUUUUUAAUCCCAUGGCUCUUCAACAUUUAUGUUGGCUUUCAGGGAUUAAUCUUUGCUUUGAGAUCUGCUUAUGGCAUCUUGAGAUCUAUUUCGAUCUUCCUUUGAUGAGUUUCAACCUCUGAAGCAACACAGAAAUCUUCUGCGUAAUUCACGUUUUGGUGAUUUUGUAGAUUAAUGUAAAAAUAAAAAGGCAACAUACCAUGUUAGACCAAUAAAAGUCUUUCAAAUUAGUUAUUCCCGAGAUCUUAAUGGGUGUCUUACGGCAUCGGAUAGUAUUUUUGUAAAAAUUUGUAGUCUUUUCAGCUUAUUGCAUUGUUUACUUCCUGGUUCAGUAAAGGGGUCCUAAAAAGUCACGCCCACGAAAGACAAACAUCUGUCUUUCCUAGUUACCUCUACCAGUUAAUCCAUAACACCGGAGGCUGGACGGAGCAACCAAACAAAGCGUUCAAACUUUCUCCACAACACACACGGAAUGUCAAAUCCCAGAGGAGCAGACCUGAGUAGUUUCUGUUAAACUUGCACCAACAAACAUCCACCAGCUCCAACAGAAUCCAGCCUGGCCGCCAAUUCACCAAACACCCAGCAACUAACCAACACCGCUUCAGCAGCACUAAUAUAAGAACUCUGGAUUACAAGUUUUGGACGCAUUAGGAUUCAUUUACCUGAUAGCAGGUCAACAAGUCUACACACGAAAGACAAUCAACAAAAUUUGCUAGUGUUCCUGUGAAUAUUU